CAGAGAGACGCCCACGUGACCUCGAUCCGGCUCGCUGUGGGACCCCGGCCGGCGGUGGCGCAGCAGGGAACGGGGGCGGCCGUCUCAGCGAAGCCGCAUCCGGUGCUACCACCGACACGCCCAAUGCGUGCCACACUGCUUCAAGAGGGAACAAAUGGAACAGCUCUAACCUACACACACUGGGGACGAAGGCCGGGUGGGAGCUGUACCACUCGUGUGAAAGGGCCGAUCAAGCGGGCAGCACGCACAGCAUUUCCGUGGGCUGUGUGCGAGUGUUGCGGCAGCCUGGCCCAGACCAACGCGGCGGGUGCAGCGGCGACGCCGUCCCCCUCCUCCCAACACUCACCGGCGACGAGCAGGAUGGGCGGCUUGUCGGGGUGAAGCUCCAUCUGCCUGGCGAUCCACUGGCCGUCGAAGUGCGCGUACCACCAGCCCUUCUUCUUGUUGUUC
Lethenteron reissneri (Far Eastern brook lamprey) is the source of this 450-nucleotide long non-coding RNA. RefSeq lists it as uncharacterized. NCBI's taxonomy places the organism in Eukaryota, Metazoa, Chordata, Hyperoartia, Petromyzontiformes, Petromyzontidae. The record is from RefSeq and is a predicted model, not a curated record.